AUCUACAGCCAUACCACCCUGAACUCUCCCCAGCUCAUCUGAUCUCGGAGGCUAAGUGGGGUUGGGCCUGGUUAGUACUUGGAUGGGAGAAGUCCGUUCUCUCCCUCCACCAUGUGGGCCCGAGGGAUUGAACUCAGGCUGUCAGCC
Cricetulus griseus (Chinese hamster) is the source of this 147-nucleotide non-coding RNA. The record is from Rfam. Lineage: Eukaryota; Metazoa; Chordata; Mammalia; Rodentia; Cricetidae.